GAUGAAGAACGUAGCGAAAUGCGAUAAGUAAUGUGAAUUGCAGAAUUCAGUGAAUCAUCGAAUCUUUGAACGCACAUUGCGCCCCCUGGUAUUCCGGGGGGCAUGCCUGUCCGAGCGUCAUUACAACCCUCAAGCUCAGCUUGGUGUUGGGCCCCGCCGCCCCGGCGGGCCCUAAAGUCAGUGGCGGUGCCGUCCGGCUCCGAGCGUAGUAAUUCUUCUCGCUCUGGAGGUCCGGUCGUGUGCUCGCCAGCAACCCCCCAUUUUUUUCAGGUUGACCUCGGAUCAGGUAGGGAUACCCGCUGAACUUAAGCAUAUCAAUAAGCGGAGGA
RNAcentral lists this unclassified non-coding RNA (329 nucleotides) under soil metagenome. Its description in RNAcentral is "partial contains 5.8S ribosomal RNA, internal transcribed spacer 2, and large subunit ribosomal RNA". The stretch from base 1 to 120 matches the Rfam family "5.8S ribosomal RNA", at positions 35 to 154 of the family's 154-position model. The record is from RNAcentral.